Molecule: long non-coding RNA, 5828 nt
Filed under: Pan troglodytes (chimpanzee)
Lineage: Eukaryota; Metazoa; Chordata; Mammalia; Primates; Hominidae
Description: long non-coding RNA NONPTRT004956
Source: RNAcentral
GACUGUUCUCUAGAGCUGCUUAGUAGAAACCAGGAGUGUGUGGGAGGAAAGCCCUGGUAAACUUCGACCCUGAGACAGAAGACCUCAGCAGCCUUCAGCAUGGGAUGCAGCACUUUCUUUAUUGCCCAUCCAGGGAACAGCCAAGCCAGCUCCAUCUGCAUUCUGGCUGCAGCGUGUACAUUAGGGGACUCAGGGGCCACAGUGUGGGACCGUGCACACUGGCAAGGCACUGGCGGAUGCUGGCAGGCCAGUGGACAUGGAUAGAUGAGAAUGACAACUCACAGAUGUCCUAGCUUCUGCUGGCCCGGCUGCCAACCACUGGCCAUCACCCUUUUGCCCAGCAUGUGUGCAUUGUCACCCAAAACAUCUUGAAGCUUGCCAUUAGUGAGGCAUUCAACAAAGAAGUAAGCUAAGUGAGUAGGAAACAGUGUUUCCUGGAAUAUACCGCACUCUGCCUGAAAUAGGAAAACUAUGUUUGCCGGGAAGCAGCAGCAGCAGGAAAGAAGUUAUACCAAAAACGACUUGUACACCACAGACAUUAUAACCCUUUCCUCAAAGAAACAGUCAUGUUCUGUUGGGUAUUAUGGACAGGUCUCUGGAAAUUUAUCUAAUAAAGACCAACAAACUUCCCCAGCAGUGCCUCUGAGUACCGUGUGAAUUCUGGUGUCUUGUGGAAGUCAGGGUGCCUUCUUUGCAUCCAAAGCUUUGAGGGAGCUGGGAAGCUUUGGUUCCAUUUUAGGAGGGCUGUGUGAUGGUGACAAAGGUGUUCUGGUCAUUUCUGCUCUGUUCUCAGUUCUGUGAAGUGAGGUGGAUGUAAUGUGCUGUGGGAUGGGGUGCUCCAUAUGUGUGUGUAGCCUUUACUUUCCAACUUAGUUUUUUGCACCUCUCUUGUACUGACGAGCCAUACCUCUCAGCCUUCAUUUGGUCCCAGGCCUGACCCUUUGCCUUCAUCAUCAGCUUUUCUGUCCUGCUCCGGCAGGAUUAACUCUGUUCUUGCCGCGGAUGUCACCAUCACUCUGGAGUCCAGCCCAGUGCCCACAGGCCCGAUCAGUUCACCCUCUUCCUUCUCUUCAGGGGAGAAACUUUCUCGGGCAUCGAAAAAGGUGAUUGUUUCUUCUUGAAGUUUUUGUUCUUCCAGCUCUGCCUCAUCUUCGGUGCUUUUGCUUUUCUUGGUAGGAGAUGAGGAGAACCCUAAUUUGGGAAAUCGGAACCAGCCUGCCUUCUCCUGUUUUUUAGGCAGUUCUGCCUCUGGUCGUGCCUCAGGCUGUGUUUGAAUGGGAGCAGAUCUCUGGACGUCAUUUUUGGAAUCAACACCUGUCUCAUCAACAGAAGAGGAAAACCCAAUGUUUGGAAGCCAAAACCAGAGCAGACCAGAUUUUUUACUUUCUGGUUUGUCUUUUGGAGCCCUGCCUUCAUCUGCCAGUGGUGUGGUUGCCUCUUGGCUAUCAUCAGGGGGAAACUCAAGAAUUUCUGCUGGCUCCUCAUCUGAACAGCUGUCUGCAAGCUGGUAGCCAGAAGGAACUUCAAAUGUGAGUGUUUGCUGUCCCAGUACAUUGACACUGGAAGAGAUCAUCUCAAAUGGUUCUCCAGUGUCAGGCUGGAGAUCUCCAGAAAUGGAGUCUACUCCUGGGGUGGCUUGUAUGGGAGCCUCUUCUGUGCCCUCCUGAGUCCUAGAGUGUUGAGUCAUUGUUGUGUACACUCUAGCCUGCGUGUGGGGCUCUGGGAUUUUCACUUUUAAUAAGGAAAAUCCGUACGAAGGUGUUUGAAUCUCUGACGUGGGGAUCUCUGAUUCCCGCACAAUCUGAGUGGAAAAAGUCCUGGGUACUGAGAGAUCUACAAACUCUGGUGUCACUAUGCUGUGUAUAGUGACCUCUUGACUUUCAACCUGAGCACCCUGAAUAUGCACUCUGACCUUUGAAAUUGGGGGAGCUUCCAAAGGCAGGUUAAGGUCCACAGGCUGCUCCCCGGGGACCCCAGCACCUGCCUUCAGGAUGCUGGCUCCCCAGAGCCCCGGACUUCCCUUACAAAGGGCUGUAUCAAUAUUGGCCUCUGGACACUGCACUUCCCUCACAGUGGGGAUGAACACAUCAUCCUCUGAGCUGGGGGCAGGGAAGGAGAACCUUGGUACCAUUAAUUUGGGGAAUUUGACAGUUAGGACAGAAUCUUCCCACAGUUGAUCUACAUUAACCACAGAAAUCUGGGAUGGCGUAUCAGUACUUGAAGCUUUCAAUUUAAGUGGACCUUCAGGCUGGGAAGACCAUUUCUCUGUUUUAUCCUCCAUGCUGACAAGGUCAUGUCCUGGCUUGGAAAGAGGAGUCUCAUCUAUUUCUCCUGGAAGAACCUGGGUUUCUGGAAGCCUCAUUCCAGGCAUCUGAAAAGGGAGAGGUCCUUUGGAUGGAUGGAUCCUGACCUCAGAAGUGGAAAGCUCAUCCCCAGUCAUCCCAGCAGUGGAGAGGUGCAGCUUCAAGCCUGUGCUGUCAAGAUCACACCUUAGAAUAUCUGUGGAUGAUUUGCUCUCAGAAGCUGUCACUUCUGCAUCUGCCUCUGGGAGCUGUAGGGACAUAGCUGCCUCCACAUUUGACCCAGAAACAAGGAACUCUUUGACUUUAGCUGCUGCUUCACCCCCUGUUGCUGCCAGUGCCUGUGUCUGAGCCACUUCCAGCUUUCCAGCCCCGCCUCUGUCCUUGAAAGAGCGCCUAAGGCUGGGCAUGCGGAACUUGGGCAUUUUAAACCAGCUUUCCUGUGAGUCCUUGGUCAUGGCUUCCUCCUCUGGGCUUUCCACUGUGAGGACUUCAGCAUCUGGUUUUCUACAGGAUGGCUGGAGGGGAUCUUCAGGUGUGGGGGCUAUCCCCUCCCCACAAGGCUGGCUCGCUGGGACAUCCCCGAGCCCACAUCCUCUGCUGUCACCUUCGGUAGACAGAUCAUGUUUGGGAAGAGGCAGGUCAGCUUCAGGCUGGCUCACCUCCACCUUGGCCUUGGAGGAUCUGAGAUCAGGUUUGGCAAAGCCCAAACUGGGAAUGCGGACCUGUGGCCGGUGGAGGUUCACACCCUCACUUCCUGUGGCACUUGCUGUUGCACCAAGUCCUCCCCUACCACCGUCACUGCUGGCCUUUUCUGUGUCUUGAAAGCUACCCCCUGCUGUGGCACUAGAAAGGGAAGGAUCCACGUCUCUCUGUGGCAGGCUGACCCCACUCUUAGAAGCCUUCAUUUUGGGAAGUGCAAGUUUUGGCAUGGCAAAGCCAGGCUUUGUGCUCCUCCCCUUCUCUCCAUCCCUCUCAGGAGGCAGAUCCAUGUGGAUGGCAGACUGCGGGGCCACUUCAUCCUUGUCUAAAACCAGGCUGAGUUUUGAGUCCUCCACGCUGCAUUCUGGGUCCACCUGUGGCCCUGUUUCCUUCUUCGGGGACCACCUAAAUGAUGGAAGCUUAAUCUUAGGCAUUUUCAAGGGACUCCCUUUCCCUUCGUGGUCAGCAUCUUCAGAAGGGGCUUCUCCAGGGGCCACUACUGAUGUCUGCAAGGAGGCCACAAGCUCUUCUGGGCUCUGGGACACAGAGGUGCCUAGGGAUGGCAGCUGGGUGCUUGGCAAGGGGCACUGCACUCCUUCUCCAGGGCUAAGAGGAGACAUGACUGGGGCACCCACUGCUGCAUGUAGGUCUCCCUCAGGAACUGCCAUUUGGGGGACUGAAAACACAAACUUUGGUUUAUAGAAUUUAGGAAAAGACACCUGACCAAGAGAAACAGGAAUCAUGGAAUUCAGUGGGCCAGAGUGACUCUCAGCUUGAGAUGUUGGAACUCCCUCUGGAGGCUGCAGGUCAGCAGAGCACUCUGUCUUGGGAAGAGAAAUAUCAGCCUGAGACCCAGAAGGAAUUUCCAGAGCGAGCUCAGGGGCCAAGACAGCUCUGGGAACAGUCACCUGGUAUUUUGUAAGUGUAACAUCCUCACAGGGAGAGAGAAUAGAAGAUUCAAAGUGAGGACCAGUGAGAUCAAGCCGGGAUGAUGGAAACCCAGCCAAACCCACCUUAGGCAUCUGCAUGGAUGGCUCUGAACAAGCCGAAACCUGUUGUAAUUCAAAACUUGAGGAUUCUGAAGAUGAUAAAGGAAUCGUGGAAAGACCUAUGCUAGACUUUGCACCUGGGACUAAACUAUCUUUAGGAGUUUUGGUAGAAGAAAAUGAAACUUUGGGCACUUUAAAAUGCAGUUUCUUAAACUUUGAAUCCAUUCCAACUUCUCCAACAGCAAGCCCCAAGUUACCAUCGCGAGAUGGAUCAUGAAGAUCACCUUCAUGAACAACAGAUUCCACAACGGGAAAUGCGGAAGUCUUCUCAUGGAAUGUAACAUUUCCUUCGAUUUCAGAGGAAGACAUGGAAACUUUCUUUGACGACCAUUCAAAACCAGACGUGCUCAGUUUUGGCCCUUGAAACUUACUGUCUUUCCCAGCUACAUCCUCGUGGGCCAGGGACAGGUCCCCCUCAAGCUGCACACCAUCCAGCAUGGAUCCUGGGGCCUGGACGUCCAUCUCCACACUGGGCAGAGACACCUCCACGUCGGGGGCCAUCACCUCUGCCUCUGGGCCUUUCAGGUCCAGCUUGGGGCCCUUGAGGUCCACUUUGGGCAUCUUGAAACUGGGCAUCUGCACCUUGGGCAGGUGCCCUUUGAGGCCGGCUACCUCGGGCAUGUGGCCUUCUGGAAGUUUCAAGUCCACCUGGCCAGCCUGGACCUCCAGGUCGGCGGAAGGGGCCUGAAUGCGGAGGUCAGUGGUCUUGAGGUCCCCCUGCAUGGAGGGAAGGCUCAUGUCGGCCUCCAUCUUCGGCGCAGACACAUCCACCGAGACCUCGAUGGACUUGCCUGGGGACAACAUCCCAAAGGAUGGCAUCUUGAACUUGGGCAUUUUCAACUUGCUGUCUUUGGCAGUCACGUCCUUGUCAGCCAGGGACAGGUCCCCCUCCAGCCGCGUACCGUCCAGCUUGGCUCCUGGGGCUUGGAUGUCCACCUCCAUGCUGGGCAGAGACACGUCCAGGUUGGGGGCCGUCACCUCCACCUUGGGGCCUUUCAGGUCCAGCUUGGGGACAUUAACGUCUAUCUGGGGACCCUUGAGGUCCACUUUGGGUACCUUGAAACGGGGCAUCUGCACCUUGGGCAGGUGCCCUUUGAGGCCGGCUCCCUCGUGCACGGGGCCUUCUUGGAGUUUCACAUCCUCUUGGCCAGCCUGGACCUCCAGAUCAGCGGAAGGGGGCUGAAUGCUGAGGUCAGUGGUCUUCAGGUCCCCCUGCAUGGAGGGGAGGCUCACGUCAGCCUCCACCUUCGGCGCAGACACAUCCAACGAGGCCUCGAUGGACUUGCCUGGGGCAGACACCCCGAACGACGGCAUCUUGAACUUGGGCAUUUUGAACUUGCUGUCUUUGGCAGGCACAUCCUUGUCGGCUAGGGACAGGUCACCCUCCAGCCGCGCACUGUCCAGCUUGGCUCCCCGGGCCUCGACGUCCACCUCCACGCUGGGCAGAGACACUUCCACGUCGGGGGCCAUCACCUCCGCCUUGGGGCCUUUCAGGUCCAGCUUGGGGCCCUUGACAUCCACCUGGGGGCCCUUGAGGGCCACUUUGGGCAUCUUCAAACUGGGCAUCUGCACCUUGGGCAGGUGCCCUUUGAGGCUGGCUCCCUCGGGCAGGGGGCCCUCCGGGAGUUUCAUGUCCACUUGGCCAGCCUGGACCUCCAGGUCGGCGGAAGGGGACUGAAUGCUGAGGUCAGUGGUCUUGAGGUCCCCCUGCAUGGAGGGGAGGCUCACGUCGGCUUCCGCCUUCAGCUCAGACACAUCCACCGAGGCCUCGAUGGAC